CUGUACGUUCGCAAGAAAGAAUACCGUAAAGGUUAUAAUAAAGAAAGAAUAGCGACUGUUUAUCAAAAACAUAGAACUCUGCUAAUUUGAAAAAAGAUGUAUAGGGUUUGACGCCUGCCAGGUGCUUAUCUAAAAAAAUAAUUAGUAUUUUUGCUAAUUUAAUAAUUAUAAGUAAACGGCGGUCUUAACAAUAAGGAUCCUAAGGUAGCGAAAUUCCUCGACGGGUAAAUUCCGUCCUGCAUGAACGGCGUCACGACUAUUCUACUGUCUCAAGCAUAAACUCAGCGAAAUUAUGAUAUCUGUGCAAACACGGAUUGCCCACAGUUAGACGGAAAGACCCUUUAAUCCUUUACCAUAUUUUUAUAUUGAUUUGCGUUUUAUUUAGUAUAGCAUAAGUGG
This 399-nucleotide ribosomal RNA is filed under the name Compsopogon caeruleus. Its description in RNAcentral is "partial Bacterial large subunit ribosomal RNA". It matches the Rfam family "Bacterial large subunit ribosomal RNA", at positions 1728 to 2150 of the family's 2925-position model. Lineage: Eukaryota; Rhodophyta; Compsopogonophyceae; Compsopogonales; Compsopogonaceae. The record is from RNAcentral.